This 253-nucleotide ribosomal RNA is filed under the name uncultured bacterium. RNAcentral's name for it is "partial 16S ribosomal RNA". It matches the Rfam family "Bacterial small subunit ribosomal RNA", at positions 524 to 776 of the family's 1533-position model. The record is from RNAcentral.
UACGUAGGGCGCAAGCGUUGUCCGGAAUUAUUGGGCGUAAAGAGCUCGUAGGCGGUUUGUCGCGUCUGCUGUGAAAACCUAAGGCUCAACCUUGGGCUUGCAGUGGGUACGGGCAGACUAGAGUGCGGUAGGGGUGACUGGAAUUCCUGGUGUAGCGGUGGAAUGCGCAGAUAUCAGGAGGAACACCGAUGGCGAAGGCAGGUCACUGGGCCGCAACUGACGCUGAGGCGCGAAAGCCAGGGGAGCAAACGGG